RNAcentral lists this ribosomal RNA (163 nucleotides) under Deschampsia cespitosa (tufted hair grass). Its description in RNAcentral is "5.8S ribosomal RNA". It matches the Rfam family "5.8S ribosomal RNA". From Rfam's summary of the family: 5.8S ribosomal RNA (5.8S rRNA) is a component of the large subunit of the eukaryotic ribosome. It is transcribed by RNA polymerase I as part of the 45S precursor that also contains 18S and 28S rRNA. Functionally, it is thought that 5.8S rRNA may be involved in ribosome translocation. Lineage: Eukaryota; Viridiplantae; Streptophyta; Magnoliopsida; Poales; Poaceae. The record is from RNAcentral.
ACACGACUCUCGGCAACGGAUAUCUCGGCUCUCGCAUCGAUGAAGAACGUAGCGAAAUGCGAUACCUGGUGUGAAUUGCAGAAUCCCGCGAACCAUCGAGUCUUUGAACGCAAGUUGCGCCCGAGGCCAUUNGGCCNAGGGCACGCCUGCCUGGGCGUCACGC